Rhinopithecus roxellana (golden snub-nosed monkey) is the source of this 3069-nucleotide RNA transcript. RefSeq lists it as uncharacterized. The transcript has a single exon. NCBI's taxonomy places the organism in Eukaryota, Metazoa, Chordata, Mammalia, Primates, Cercopithecidae. The record is from RefSeq and is a predicted model, not a curated record.
AUGGAAAGAGCUAGUACAAUCACAUAUUUGAAAGGAGAAACAAUAGGUACUGAACCGGAGGGAAAGGGCGAGGGUUUGAGUGUGCCAGCACCGGCCUGGUGAAUCCACGAUUCCAUUUCCCAUCCAAGGUAAGUUUCCCGAAAUAACGUCUAAACAAGCUGCACUUACACCUCUAGCCAUCGUCUGCCCUUUCAAAUAUCUGGUCUACAUGGAAAGACAAAGAGGAAAGGCCGAAACAUAAACAAAAGGAAACAAAACAAAACACAACCCUCUCAGGAACCCAACGAAAACCCCCAAAUCCUUUUUUACUACACAAGGCAUGAGGUCAAAAGCUUAAGAGUACAGUGUCCCCUUUAGAUCAUGGGAGAAAGGCGUCCACACAGAGCCUUAGCAGGGAUUUCCACUCCGAGGCUCCAGAACAUGCUGAAGAUGGGGCUCUGGGGGUGCCACUACCAUCCUGGAGGUCACCAACUGGGGUGGAGACAGUGAAGAAGGUCUCACGUGCCCGAAGACCACCAGCCAGAUAUACACUGGUGGCCCUGGUGGAGCAUGGCCGGGCAACAGCGUCCAUCUCCAACACCGAGCCACUCCUGUCCUGGAUGACUUCCUGCUUAGGUCCGUCACAUUUCAGAAGAGAGCUGACUUUCUGGAAGCCUAUGUUUCCCAUUCAUCGCAGAAUAUGACAGAGCACACACACUCUGGUAUCCUUGGUCUUCAAAGGCCAUUUCCAGCAGACCCUCUAACCUAGGCUUGCUCUGCAGGAAGUGAAAAGGGACAAAUGAAGAUUUGAGGGGCAGCCUGCAGCUACUUGGCAGAGAGGAACCAAAUGGCAAGGGAGAAGGCUCCACCAGAGCUGCCACGCUGCCGCAGCAGGCCAAGCCACAGCAUGGCCGUGCACCUGUGUACGCUCAGCUUCCAGAAGGCGUCACUGACCAUCCGGAAGGCAGAUCCAGAAGACAGGAGGGUGACAGCUCAGCUGGAGAGCACUGAUGUCAAUGUUUAACAAUGUACCCCAGUGUCCCUAGAAGUGGCUGGAAGGACCACAGCUUUGGAACUGAACUGAUUUUCUCGAAUGUGAAAUAAAGUCAUCCUUUGUUUUCUCCCUUAAGGAACCUAGAGCCAGACUGUCAAUGAAUUCCAAGUUUGAAAACAAUACUAAUGUUUAAAAAAAAAAAAAAAAAAAAAACGGGGGGGAGAAGCCAACAGUUAAGAAAAUCAAACCGAAUGCAGCUGGCAUUGAAGUUCCCAGUGGGUGGAUGAGCAUUUCAGAUGCACACCCACACUCUGGACUUCAUCCCACUCUAGCGGACAGUGGACAAAUACCACCGCAAGGCCACUGGUUGCUGAGCAAUGCGCCGCAGCCCUGAUGGCAAAGGCAGAGCUGCCAGCAUCGGGAGGAGGGCAACUUUAGCAGGCAAAAGUGCGUGGGUUCUGACCCCCCACUCAGCAGCAGAAAAGGCAAGUGCUGGUCUCCACCUGUUCCCACCAAGGCCCCGUUGUAUCCUGGCAGAAGCCUCUGCAUGUAUCUGCGCUCUGAAGAUGGGGGUUUGAAAACAAAAUAAGACCCUACAUCCUACUACCUUGAGCUUGGCUCUAAAACCACGUGAAAGGAAGAGAUAUAUUGCACCUUAAAAAGUCUCUGCACUAAGAACUGCAUUUAAUCAGACCAAGGAGGGGUUGGGGCGCUGGGAGGCCUGAGGCCUGCCCUCAGCCCCUAGUCUCAUUUAAAAUCUGCAUCUCAGCGAAGAGACUGCAGCUCAGGUCACACAGAGGUGGUGACUGCACCGAACUUCACAUGCAAUUUCCUGGCCUUUCCUGCACAGAAUUAAUUCAGACAUUAUAUAUAAAUAGAGCAGUGAAACAUUUACUUCUUUUUUUUCAUCUAGACCUACAACAUCAAUACAUAUAAAUAAAUUCUAGUGUUUUUUGUUUUUUUAUUUGGGGUCAGGGAGAAGGAAGGAAGGAAAUACCGGGUAAGAGAAAAGGGCUAGAGAACAGGUGACCUUUAUGUUUUUAUUUUUUCUCAAACAGCAAGUACUGUGGGUCUGAUGUCAGGUUCACCUGAAGGGUCUAUCUUUUUAACAGCAUCCGGGAGGCUUUUUCUUUCGACAGAUCACACGCACCACCGCGUCAGGUGGGAGGGGUCUCGCCAUGUGGCUCAAAUGUCCAGGUGGAGAUGAAUGUGUGGCUCCCGCAGGCCUGGACUCACCCAGGAAUGGCUUGGCAAGGGGGGCGGAUAGGGACAAAGAGGGCUCAUCCCAGGCCCCACAAGCAGCCACUUGCAGUGGGAGAAGGAAAAGCAGACACGCAGCUCAGGUAGGGAAUGCCCGGAACUGUCAGGUGGACAGCCCCUGGGGAAAGGACUCAAGCGUAAAGACUGGGGACGAAGAGGGAAAAGACCAGGGGAGGGCAGGAGGGGAGCUGCUGAAAGAUGCAGGUGAACAGUAAAGCAGCUUUCAGUAAAACUGCACCUUCCCAGGCAGCUCUGGGGUGGGCGCUGUUUGUAGGAGGCCGUUCUCCCACUUCCUUAGAAUUGUGAGAGCAGUAAGAAGUUACUUUAGCAGUUCCUAAGAUGCUCCUUCCCCAUGUUCUACACUAGACACAGAGCUUAGAGCCCAAGCCCGAGUGCUGUCCUGCACCCAUGAGACGCCGAGGGCAGCCUCUGGGGGGGUGCAUCCCCGGCCCUCUCCUCACGGUGUUCUGAGCUGGCCUCCUCUGGAAGAGCAGGUAGACGCUCAAUGACCCUUAAGAACAGCUAAGAAACUUGAACUGUCCGCUUCCCUUUCCUCGGAAUGACAGAAUCUUGUUUCUUAUUUAAAAACGACAAGCCCAGCACACGAUGGCUCACACAAGCCUCUGGCUGGAGAAGCUGCCCCUGCAGACUGCGCAGGCCCUCUGGACCUUGGUCAGCCCUCCACCCAGCCUCACCCUGCCCCCCCUGCCCCGGUCAUCUGAAGACAAAUGAGACAGAUGCCUGCUGCUUAGGUCAGGCCCUCCUGUCCUGACAACCUGGGUCUGCUGCUGGGAGUGAAGCAAAGGAGGAAAAGGACAAACUCCCAGCAGCCUCAC